CCAUAGUCUUCUUCUCAGAUCUUCUUUCGCAUCUAAGAUCUCAGAACGCCACAGCCUCGUUGUCGCCAACUGGUCUCAGAUCUUUUUCUCAUAUCUUCUUCUCAAAUUUCAUAUCUCAGAUCUCACUGGUCCGCUACACUGCUUUGCCAACUGCUCAUUCACAUCGCCGAGCUCGUUGUCGCCACCGACAGCUCCUUCUCACCGUUGCUGUAAGAAUAAAGAGGAAGAGGGUUUAGGACUGUGGAGUGUGUCACUGCUCAUUCU
This is a non-coding RNA of Arachis ipaensis, 264 nucleotides long. The record is from RefSeq and is a predicted model, not a curated record. Lineage: Eukaryota; Viridiplantae; Streptophyta; Magnoliopsida; Fabales; Fabaceae.